CGCCUUGGCCCCCAGAUUCCUUAGCGUCGCUCUCUGGGUUAGCGGAACUCUUUUGUUUCCCUCCCGUUGUGCCAGUGAAGAACUGAGAAGGGGAGAGAUCGAAGGCUCUUAUUGAAAACUUAGAGCAGAAACUUCAUUUUGAUUCAACAGUGACUYCAACAUGCAGAACAUCUGCCCUGAAUGGAAGAGAUGCUCCACUUUCAUUCAAUUAGUACACAGUUAUGGCGGACACAACAUCUUUGCUUGUAUGUG
Molecule: non-coding RNA, 252 nt
Organism: Urocitellus parryii (Arctic ground squirrel)
Lineage: Eukaryota; Metazoa; Chordata; Mammalia; Rodentia; Sciuridae
Source: RefSeq, a predicted model, not a curated record